RNAcentral lists this ribosomal RNA (497 nucleotides) under uncultured bacterium. RNAcentral's name for it is "partial 16S ribosomal RNA". It matches the Rfam family "Bacterial small subunit ribosomal RNA", at positions 28 to 507 of the family's 1533-position model. The record is from RNAcentral.
GAUGAACGCUGGCGGCGUGCCUAAUACAUGCAAGUCGAGCGAACAGACGAGGAGCUUGCUCCUCUGACGUUAGCGGCGGACGGGUGAGUAACACGUGGAUAACCUACCUAUAAGACUGGGAUAACUUCGGGAAACCGGAGCUAAUACCGGAUAAUAUAUUGAACCGCAUGGUUCAAUAGUGAAAGACGGUUUUGCUGUCACUUAUAGAUGGAUCCGCGCCGCAUUAGCUAGUUGGUAAGGUAACGGCUUAGCAAGGCAACGAUGCGUAGCCGACCUGUGAGGCGGGUCGCCGACAUGGGAGCGGAGCCGCGGUCAAGACUACUGAGGGAGGGACCAGUAUGGAAUGUGCCGCAGUAGGCGAAAGUUUGACGGAGCAAGGCCGAGCGAGUUAUGGAGGUCUUCGGAGCGUAAAACUGUGUUAUGAGGGAAGAACAAAUGUGGAAGUAGCUAAGCACGUCUUGACGGUACCUAAUAAGAAAGCCACGGCUAACUACGUG